This 254-nucleotide ribosomal RNA is filed under the name uncultured bacterium. Its description in RNAcentral is "partial 16S ribosomal RNA". It matches the Rfam family "Bacterial small subunit ribosomal RNA", at positions 524 to 776 of the family's 1533-position model. The record is from RNAcentral.
UACGUAGGAUCCAAGCGUUAUCCGGAUUUACUGGGCGUAAAGAGUUGCGUAGGUGGCAUAGUAAGUUAAUAGUGAAAGCGUGCGGCUCAACCGCAUAUCCAUUAUUAAAACUACUAAGCUAGAGAAUGAGAGAGGUCACUGGAAUUCCAAGUGUAGGAGUGAAAUCCGUAGAUAUUUGGAGGAACACCGAUGGCGUAGGCAGGUGACUGGCUCAUUUCUGACACUAAGGCACGAAAGCGUGGGGAGCAAACGGG